GUCGUGGGAGUUGCUGCAGAAGCAAGCGAAAAGCCAGAUGAGCGCUUCUAAACUUAGA
Molecule: unclassified non-coding RNA, 58 nt
Filed under: Homo sapiens (human)
Lineage: Eukaryota; Metazoa; Chordata; Mammalia; Primates; Hominidae
Description: partial ghrelin antisense (ghrelinOS) variant antisense RNA
Source: RNAcentral